AGCAGCCGCGGUAAUUCCAGCUCCAAUAGCGUAUAUUAAAGUUGUUGCAGUUAAAAAGCUCGUAGUUGAAUUUCGAGAUCAAAUUGUUGGUCGUGCCUCGGUACGUACUGGCAUUAUUGAUUUCUCCCUUCUGAAGAACCACGAUGUCAUUAAUUUGGUGUCGUGGGAAAUCAGGACUGUUACUUUGAAAAAUUAGAGUGUUUAAAGCAGGCUCGCGCUUGAAUACAUUAGCAUGGAAUAAUGAAAUAGGACGUUUGAUUCUAUUUUGUUGGUUUCUAGGAUCGACGUAAUGAUUAAUAGGGAUAGUUGGGGGCAUUAGUAUUCAAUUGUCAGAGGUGAAAUUCUUGGAUUUAUUGAAGACUAACUACUGCGAAAGCAUUUGCCAAGGAUGUUUUCAUUAAUCAAGAACGAAAGUUAGGGGAUCGAAGACG
RNAcentral lists this ribosomal RNA (431 nucleotides) under uncultured Glomus. Its description in RNAcentral is "SSU rRNA". It matches the Rfam family "Eukaryotic small subunit ribosomal RNA", at positions 569 to 1006 of the family's 1831-position model. Lineage: Eukaryota; Fungi; Glomeromycota; Glomeromycetes; Glomerales; Glomeraceae. The record is from RNAcentral.